This 962-nucleotide ribosomal RNA is filed under the name Bacillus halotolerans. RNAcentral's name for it is "bacterial SSU rRNA". It matches the Rfam family "Bacterial small subunit ribosomal RNA", at positions 33 to 978 of the family's 1533-position model. The record is from RNAcentral. Lineage: Bacteria; Bacillati; Bacillota; Bacilli; Caryophanales; Bacillaceae.
GGGCUGGGGGUGCCUAUACAUGCAAGUCGAGCGGACAGAUGGGAGCUUGCUCCCUGAUGUUAGCGGCGGACGGGUGAGUAACACGUGGGUAACCUGCCUGUAAGACUGGGAUAACUCCGGGAAACCGGGGCUAAUACCGGAUGCUUGUUUGAACCGCAUGGUUCAAACAUAAAAGGUGGCUUCGGCUACCACUUACAGAUGGACCCGCGGCGCAUUAGCUAGUUGGUGAGGUAAUGGCUCACCAAGGCGACGAUGCGUAGCCGACCUGAGAGGGUGAUCGGCCACACUGGGACUGAGACACGGCCCAGACUCCUACGGGAGGCAGCAGUAGGGAAUCUUCCGCAAUGGACGAAAGUCUGACGGAGCAACGCCGCGUGAGUGAUGAAGGUUUUCGGAUCGUAAAGCUCUGUUGUUAGGGAAGAACAAGUACCGUUCGAAUAGGGCGGUACCUUGACGGUACCUAACCAGAAAGCCACGGCUAACUACGUGCCAGCAGCCGCGGUAAUACGUAGGUGGCAAGCGUUGUCCGGAAUUAUUGGGCGUAAAGGGCUCGCAGGCGGUUUCUUAAGUCUGAUGUGAAAGCCCCCGGCUCAACCGGGGAGGGUCAUUGGAAACUGGGGAACUUGAGUGCAGAAGAGGAGAGUGGAAUUCCACGUGUAGCGGUGAAAUGCGUAGAGAUGUGGAGGAACACCAGUGGCGAAGGCGACUCUCUGGUCUGUAACUGACGCUGAGGAGCGAAAGCGUGGGGAGCGAACAGGAUUAGAUACCCUGGUAGUCCACGCCGUAAACGAUGAGUGCUAAGUGUUAGGGGGUUUCCGCCCCUUAGUGCUGCAGCUAACGCAUUAAGCACUCCGCCUGGGGAGUACGGUCGCAAGACUGAAACUCAAAGGAAUUGACGGGGGCCCGCACAACCGGUGGAGCAUGUGGUUUAAUUCAAACCAACCCCGAAAAACCUUACCAGG